CUGAGUAAGCCUCUUGAGUUUCUUCCUAAAGAAGUUUUUCGGGAUCAAGAACUUCAAGUUCUAAAAGAAAAAGAAGAAAAGGGAAACGAAAAUUUAACCAGUUUUGGACAUAAAAUUGAAUCUUAUGAAGAUCGUUUGGGUUUCUUUGUGCCUUGCUUUAGAACGCCUAAAGCCACACUUACGGUAGAAAAGGAAACUACUCAAUUUUAUAUUCCCUCCUUUCCCUCCUUUUCGCUGUACAAUACUUCUUAUACUGGUGGAGCCCAUGAAGUGAUUGAAACCAAAAAACCUCAUGAAUUUUUAGAAGAUUAUUUAUGGCGCCAAAAAAUAGUUGUUGGGGACGUUGGCUCGCCUUGUGAUUGGCGUACGUCCAUCAUAAAUUUUGUUAAUGCUUUGGGGAAAAUUGAUCCAACUAUGACGAAAGAACGACUUGAAUCGAGAAUUAAUUAUAUAAACUCUAUAAAGCCUGCAUAUACCGCCGCGCCGGAGUUUUCAAGGAAGCAUUACAAGCAAAAACUUAACGCAAAAGCUAUAAACAAAUAUUUGGACGCUGUCGAGCAAGUUUAUAACAACUAUACAAACUUAUAAUAACAUUCCGUUUAUCUUCUACUGCUACUUAGAUAAAUUUAUGCAAAAAUAAAAAAUUAUGUUUA
Zophobas morio is the source of this 653-nucleotide long non-coding RNA. RefSeq lists it as uncharacterized. NCBI's taxonomy places the organism in Eukaryota, Metazoa, Arthropoda, Insecta, Coleoptera, Tenebrionidae. The record is from RefSeq and is a predicted model, not a curated record. The transcript has 7 exons.